Manis javanica (Malayan pangolin) is the source of this 927-nucleotide non-coding RNA. NCBI's taxonomy places the organism in Eukaryota, Metazoa, Chordata, Mammalia, Pholidota, Manidae. The record is from RefSeq and is a predicted model, not a curated record.
GUAUAGCAGGCAACCUCAGUGAGGAGAGGUGCCCUUAAAGGUUGUAGAGAGAGAUUAAGAUUAAAAGGUUAUGCACUUAGUGCAGGCUGUAAGGCUGGAGGCUCCAGGGGAAGGGGUGAGCCUGCUGGAAAAGCUCAGGCCUCACCAAACAAGGCAAAGAGACCAACAGGUUCCGGUCUGACAACAUUCCAGAGUCUGAUCGGACAACAUUCCUAACUAGAGCCCUCCCCAAAUCUAGAAGAGUGGUGGUAACUUUCCAGUACCUGACUAAAGGCCAAUGAGAGACCCCCCACGUACCCUAGGUAAGCCAAUCCCCGUGCCACUGUAUUCCUUUGCUAUCCCUCCCCCUGCCUUCUUUAAAAAUUAGCUGCCUGCCCUGCUGAAUGUGACUUCCCCGGCCUGUGAUAGCCAGACCUGGGAACAUCACCUGGGAAUUGUGCUCAAAUAAACUGGCCCUUCGUUGCCUCUUGUCACCUGCUUAAUUCGGCUAAAGUUUAUCUUACAUUUGGUGCCGAAACCCGGGAAGGAGUGUGAGCGUGGGGCCCUAACCGGCCACUGGUGGCCCUGCCCCCUCCUUCCCCAACCCAGGACCUCGGCCUGCUCUCCGCUGCGUGGACUAUUUUCUGAUCCCAGAGGAUGUUAGUCUCCCACCUCUCUCAGCUCGCUACCCCCACCCCUCUCCACCACCAUCUUUAAGUUCUUUGUCCUCCCCCAUGUUGCUGCCAUCUUAAAAUCCUACAUUCUCAACCAUGCCAUCGUCCUACUCCUCUCCUCUUCUGGUGGCUGCACCACCCCCUCCCCCUCCUUCCACCUUCACUGCCCUCUUCCCCCACCCGAACAUGCUCCUCCUGCUCUCCAGUUCCGGAAGCCACAGACCAGAAGCUAAAAAGAAGGAAAGCAAUUAAAUAUCAGUAACUCAAAUCUUUA